RNAcentral lists this ribosomal RNA (1437 nucleotides) under uncultured organism. RNAcentral describes it as "16S ribosomal RNA". It matches the Rfam family "Bacterial small subunit ribosomal RNA". The record is from RNAcentral.
CUCAGGAUGAACGCUAGCUACAGGCUUAACACAUGCAAGUCGAGGGGCAGCAUGGUCUUAGCUUGCUAAGGCCGAUGGCGACCGGCGCACGGGUGAGUAACACGUAUCCAACCUGCCGUCUACUCUUGGACAGCCUUCUGAAAGGAAGAUUAAUACAAGAUGGCAUCAUGAGUCCGCAUGUUCACAUGAUUAAAGGUAUUCCGGUAGACGAUGGGGAUGCGUUCCAUUAGAUAGUAGGCGGGGUAACGGCCCACCUAGUCUUCGAUGGAUAGGGGUUCUGAGAGGAAGGUCCCCCACAUUGGAACUGAGACACGGUCCAAACUCCUACGGGAGGCAGCAGUGAGGAAUAUUGGUCAAUGGGCGAGAGCCUGAACCAGCCAAGUAGCGUGAAGGAUGACUGCCCUAUGGGUUGUAAACUUCUUUUAUAAAGGAAUAAAGUCGGGUAUGGAUACCCGUUUGCAUGUACUUUAUGAAUAAGGAUCGGCUAACUCCGUGCCAGCAGCCGCGGUAAUACGGAGGAUCCGAGCGUUAUCCGGAUUUAUUGGGUUUAAAGGGAGCGUAGAUGGAUGUUUAAGUCAGUUGUGAAAGUUUGCGGCUCAACCGUAAAAUUGCAGUUGAUACUGGAUAUCUUGAGUGCAGUUGAGGCAGGCGGAAUUCGUGGUGUAGCGGUGAAAUGCUUAGAUAUCACGAAGAACUCCGAUUGCGAAGGCAGCCUGCUAAGCUGCAACUGACAUUGAGGCUCGAAAGUGUGGGUAUCAAACAGGAUUAGAUACCCUGGUAGUCCACACGGUAAACGAUGAAUACUCGCUGUUUGCGAUAUACUGCAAGCGGCCAAGCGAAAGCGUUAAGUAUUCCACCUGGGGAGUACGCCGGCAACGGUGAAACUCAAAGGAAUUGACGGGGGCCCGCACAAGCGGAGGAACAUGUGGUUUAAUUCGAUGAUACGCGAGGAACCUUACCCGGGCUUAAAUUGCAGAUGAAUUACGGUGAAAGCCGUAAGCCGCAAGGCAUCUGUGAAGGUGCUGCAUGGUUGUCGUCAGCUCGUGCCGUGAGGUGUCGGCUUAAGUGCCAUAACGAGCGCAACCCUUGAUGUCAGUUACUAACAGGUUCCGCUGAGGACUCUGACAAGACUGCCAUCGUAAGAUGUGAGGAAGGUGGGGAUGACGUCAAAUCAGCACGGCCCUUACGUCCGGGGCUACACACGUGUUACAAUGGGGGGUACAGAGGGCCGCUACCACGCGAGUGGAUGCCAAUCCCCAAAACCUCUCUCAGUUCGGACUGGAGUCUGCAACCCGACUCCACGAAGCUGGAUUCGCUAGUAAUCGCGCAUCAGCCACGGCGCGGUGAAUACGUUCCCGGGCCUUGUACACACCGCCCGUCAAGCCAUGGGAGCCGGGGGUACCUGAAGUGCGUAACCGCGAGGAGCGCCCUAGGGUA